This 465-nucleotide ribosomal RNA is filed under the name uncultured Anaerolineaceae bacterium. RNAcentral describes it as "bacterial SSU rRNA". It matches the Rfam family "Bacterial small subunit ribosomal RNA", at positions 902 to 1382 of the family's 1533-position model. Lineage: Bacteria; Bacillati; Chloroflexota; Anaerolineae; Anaerolineales; Anaerolineaceae. The record is from RNAcentral.
CAAAGGAAUUGACGGGGACCCGCACAAGCAGCGGAGCGUGUGGUUUAAUUCGUUGCUACACGAAGAACCUUACCUGGGUUUGACAUAUAGGUUGUAGGGAACUGAAAGGGACCGACCCUUCGGGGAGCCUAUACAGGUGUUGCAUGGCUGUCGUCAGCUCGUGUCGUGAGAUGUUCGGUUAAGUCCGCUAACGAGCGCAACCCUCGUCGUAUGUUAUAUGUGUCAUACGAGACUGCCGGUAAAAGCCGGAGGAAGGUGAGGAUGAUGUCAAGUCAGCAUGACCUUUAUAUCCAGGGCUACACACACGCUACAAUGGUCUGUACAAUGGGUAGCCAAGCCGCGAGGCGGAGCCAAUCCUGAAAGCAGGCCUCAGUUCAGAUUGCAGCCUGCAACUCGACUGCAUGAAGCCGGAGUUGCUAGUAACCGCAGGUCAGCAAUACUGCGGUGAAUACGUUCCCGGGUCUU